UAGCUAGUUGGUGAGGUAACGGCUUACCAAGGCGACGAUCUGUAGCGGGUCUGAGAGGAUGAUCCGCCACACUGGAACUGAGACACGGUCCAGACUCCUACGGGAGGCAGCAGUGGGGAAUUUUGGACAAUGGGGGCAACCCUGAUCCAGCCAUGCCGCGUGAGUGAAGAAGGCCUUCGGGUUGUAAAGCUCUUUCGGCCGGGAAGAAAUCGCAUGGGCCAAUACCCUGUGUGGAUGACGGUACCGGAAUAAGAAGCACCGGCUAACUACGUGCCAGCAGCCGCGGUAAUACGUAGGGUGCGAGCGUUAAUCGGAAUUACUGGGCGUAAAGCGUGCGCAGGCGGUUUUGUAAGACAGGCGUGAAAUCCCCGGGCUCAACCUGGGAACUGCGUUUGUGACUGCAAGGCUAGAGUACGGCAGAGGGGGGUGGAAUUCCACGUGUAGCAGUGAAAUGCGUAGAGAUGUGGAGGAACACCAAUGGCGAAGGCAGCCCCCUGGGUCGAUACUGACGCUCAUGCACGAAAGCGUGGGUAGCAAACAGGAUUAGAUACCCUGGUAGUCCACGCCCUAAACUAUGUCAACUAGGUGUUGGGUGGGUAAAACCAUUUAGUACCGUAGCUAACGCGUGAAGUUGACCGCCUGGGGAGUACGGCCGCAAGGUUAAAACUCAAAGGAAUUGACGGGGACCCGCACAAGCGGUGGAUGAUGUGGAUUAAUUCGAUGCAACGCGAAAAACCUUACCUACCCUUGACAUGCCAGGAACUUGCCAGAGAUGGCUUGGUGCCCGAAAGGGAGCCUGGACACAGGUGCUGCAUGGCUGUCGUCAGCUCGUGUCGUGAGAUGUUGGGUUAAGUCCCGCAACGAGCGCAACCCUUGUCGUUAAUUGCCAUCAUUUAGUUGGGCACUUUAACGAGACUGCCGGUGACAAACCGGAGGAAGGUGGGGAUGACGUCAAGUCCUCAUGGCCCUUAUGGGUAGGGCUUCACACGUCAUACAAUGGUCGGUACAAAGGGUCGCCAAGCCGCGAGGUGGAGCCAAUCCCAGAAAGCCGAUCGUAGUCCGGAUUGCAGGCUGCAACUCGCCUGCAUGAAGUCGGAAUCGCUAGUAAUCGUGGAUCAGCAUGUCACGGUGAAUACGUUCCCGGGUCUUGUACACACCGCCCGUCACACCAUGGGAGCGGGUUCCGCCAGAAGUAGGUAGCCUAACCGCAAGGAGGGCGCUUACCACGGCGGGGUUCGUGACUGGGGUGAAGUCGUAACAAGGUAGCCGUAGGGGAACCUGCGGCUG
Molecule: ribosomal RNA, 1287 nt
Filed under: metagenome
Description: bacterial SSU rRNA
Rfam family: Bacterial small subunit ribosomal RNA
Source: RNAcentral